Molecule: transfer RNA, 16 nt
Filed under: Gasterophilus intestinalis
Lineage: Eukaryota; Metazoa; Arthropoda; Insecta; Diptera; Oestridae
Also listed under: 7 other names
Description: partial tRNA-Lys
Source: RNAcentral
CAUUAGAUGACUGAAA